AUUGAACGCUGGCGGCAGGCUUAACACAUGCAAGUCGAGCGGGGGAAGGUAGCUUGCUACUGGACCUAGCGGCGGACGGGUGAGUAAUGCUUAGGAAUCUGCCUAUUAGUGGGGGACAACAUCUCGAAAGGGAUGCUAAUACCGCACACGUCCUACGGGAGAAAGCAGGGGAUCUUCGGACCUUGCGCUAAUAGAUGAGCCCAAGUCGGAUUAGCUAGUUGGUGGGGUAAAGGCCUACCAAGGCGACGAUCUGUAGCGGGUCUGAGAGGAUGAUCCGCCACACUGGGACUAAGACACGGCCCAGACUCCUACGGGAGGCAGCAGUGGGGAAUAUUGGACAAUGGGGGGAACCCUGAUCCAGCCAUGCCGCGUGUGUGAAGAAGGCCUUAUGGUUGUAAAGCACUUUAAGCGAGGAGGAGGCUACUCUAGUUAAUACCUAGGGAUAGUGGACGUUACUCGCAGAAUAAGCACCGGCUAACUCUGUGCCAGCAGCCGCCGUAA
This 501-nucleotide ribosomal RNA is filed under the name uncultured bacterium. RNAcentral's name for it is "partial 16S ribosomal RNA". It matches the Rfam family "Bacterial small subunit ribosomal RNA", at positions 30 to 523 of the family's 1533-position model. The record is from RNAcentral.